CUUGACAGAUAAUGUAAUUCAAACAAAUUAAGAGAAAAUAUGUAGAAAUAGAUAGAAGAUGAAGUUUGGUUGGAAUAUAUCAAAACUCGAAGAAAGUUUAUAGUGAGAGAGAAUGAAGUUGAAAAGAGAAGGCAAGGCAGAGAAAGGACUACCCUGUACUACAGUGGAAAAUAGGAAAGGGAGAGAAGCUUGUGGGGGGAUUGUGUAUAAGAUACUGAAGAUCUUUAUGGGGAUCUAAGCCAGCCAGAACACAAUGACAAAGGCAAUCAAUCACGUGGUCCUAAGAAGUAAGAACCAACAAAAACAACAGGUUUCCAAUUCCACAGUGCUCAAACACCAUCCAUUCCAUCGUAUAUCCAUGUCACUAGCUUUGAUUGUUGCUUUGCAUCAGUAAACAGCCGUACGUGCAUGGAAUUUGAGGAAGUACUAUGUGACAGAAAACAGAGAUGUCUCAUAUCUCUGUUUUCAAUUUUAAUUUCAUCCCUCCAUGUUGUUUCAACUCAACAAUAAGAUUCUGUUUUGCUGUCAUUUUUAUUUCACUCUUCUACAUUAUAAGUUAGUGGUGCUUGCAUGUACAGUUGCUGUUGUGUUGUGUUCAGAACAUUGUAACAACAAAAUGAUCCAAAUCCUUUGAACCAGACACUCCAACCGUGGUUAUUGUGAGUUUGAUUUUGCAAGUCAUCUGAGUGUAUUUUGUCAUCAUGCACCAUAAUGUCUCCUUUGUUGCUAUUAUCUUUUAUUCUUGUUGAAUUGAUUGAUGUACCUUGUCUCAAUUGAUAGAUGUAUAUUUUGUAAUUGUCAAGCAAGUGGAAAUAUGAAGAGAUAUGUUUUGUCA
Molecule: long non-coding RNA, 835 nt
Organism: Lotus japonicus
Lineage: Eukaryota; Viridiplantae; Streptophyta; Magnoliopsida; Fabales; Fabaceae
Exons: 2
Source: RefSeq, a predicted model, not a curated record